Ribosomal RNA from Anolis carolinensis (green anole), 119 nucleotides. The record is from Ensembl. Lineage: Eukaryota; Metazoa; Chordata; Lepidosauria; Squamata; Anolidae.
GCCUAUGGCCUGACCACUCUGAAUGCGCCCGAUCUCAUUUAAUCUCGGAAGCUAAGCAGGGCCGGGCCUGGCUAGUACUUGGAUGGGAGACCACCUAGGAAUACUAGGUGCUGUAGGCU